UACGUAGGGUGCAAGCGUUGUCCGGAAUUAUUGGGCGUAAAGAGCUUGUAGGCGGUUUGUCGCGUCUGCUGUGAAAUUUCGGGGCUCAACCCCGAACUUGCAGUGGGUACGGGCAGACUAGAGUGUGGUAGGGGAGACUGGAAUUCCUGGUGUAGCGGUGAAAUGCGCAGAUAUCAGGAGGAACACCGAUGGCGAAGGCAGGUCUCUGGGACACUACUGACGCUGAGAAGCGAAAGCAUGGGGAGCGAACAGG
Molecule: ribosomal RNA, 253 nt
Filed under: uncultured bacterium
Lineage: Bacteria
Description: partial 16S ribosomal RNA
Rfam family: Bacterial small subunit ribosomal RNA
Source: RNAcentral